GACUCAGCAUGGUGCAGUGGUUUGAAUGUUAGACUGGUGACUCUGGAGACCAGGAUUCGAGUCCCAGCUAGGCCA
This is a non-coding RNA of Phrynosoma platyrhinos (Desert horned lizard), 75 nucleotides long. The record is from the annotation of a GenBank genome assembly. Lineage: Eukaryota; Metazoa; Chordata; Lepidosauria; Squamata; Phrynosomatidae.